Molecule: transfer RNA, 72 nt
Filed under: Araneus ventricosus
Lineage: Eukaryota; Metazoa; Arthropoda; Arachnida; Araneae; Araneidae
Rfam family: tRNA
About the family: Transfer RNA (tRNA) molecules are approximately 80 nucleotides in length. Their secondary structure includes four short double-helical elements and three loops (D, anti-codon, and T loops). Further hydrogen bonds mediate the characteristic L-shaped molecular structure. tRNAs have two regions of fundamental functional importance: the anti-codon, which is responsible for specific mRNA codon recognition, and the 3' end, to which the tRNAs corresponding amino acid is attached (by aminoacyl-tRNA synthetases). tRNAs cope with the degeneracy of the genetic code in two manners: having more than one tRNA (with a specific anti-codon) for a particular amino acid; and 'wobble' base-pairing, i.e. permitting non-standard base-pairing at the 3rd anti-codon position.
Source: Rfam by way of RNAcentral
UCCCAUGUGGUCUAGAGGUUAGAAUUCCUGGCUUUCACCCAGACGGCCUGCGUUCGAUUCCCGGCAUGGGAU